This 800-nucleotide ribosomal RNA is filed under the name Bacillus sp. Ni43. RNAcentral's name for it is "bacterial SSU rRNA". It matches the Rfam family "Bacterial small subunit ribosomal RNA", at positions 377 to 1169 of the family's 1533-position model. RNAcentral also lists the same sequence under 1 other name. Lineage: Bacteria; Bacillati; Bacillota; Bacilli; Caryophanales; Bacillaceae. The record is from RNAcentral.
GAAAGUCUGACGGAGCAACGCCGCGUGAGUGAUGAAGGUUUUCGGAUCGUAAAGCUCUGUUGUUAGGGAAGAACAAGUACCGUUCGAAUAGGGCGGUACCUUGACGGUACCUAACCAGAAAGCCACGGCUAACUACGUGCCAGCAGCCGCGGUAAUACGUAGGUGGCAAGCGUUGUCCGGAAUUAUUGGGCGUAAAGGGCUCGCAGGCGGUUCCUUAAGUCUGAUGUGAAAGCCCCCGGCUCAACCGGGGAGGGUCAUUGGAAACUGGGGAACUUGAGUGCAGAAGAGGAGAGUGGAAUUCCACGUGUAGCGGUGAAAUGCGUAGAGAUGUGGAGGAACACCAGUGGCGAAGGCGACUCUCUGGUCUGUAACUGACGCUGAGGAGCGAAAGCGUGGGGAGCGAACAGGAUUAGAUACCCUGGUAGUCCACGCCGUAAACGAUGAGUGCUAAGUGUUAGGGGGUUUCCGCCCCUUAGUGCUGCAGCUAACGCAUUAAGCACUCCGCCUGGGGAGUACGGUCGCAAGACUGAAACUCAAAGGAAUUGACGGGGGCCCGCACAAGCGGUGGAGCAUGUGGUUUAAUUCGAAGCAACGCGAAGAACCUUACCAGGUCUUGACAUCCUCUGACAAUCCUAGAGAUAGGACGUCCCCUUCGGGGGCAGAGUGACAGGUGGUGCAUGGUUGUCGUCAGCUCGUGUCGUGAGAUGUUGGGUUAAGUCCCGCAACGAGCGCAACCCUUGAUCUUAGUUGCCAGCAUUCAGUUGGGCACUCUAAGGUGACUGCCGGUGACAAACCGGAGG